This 468-nucleotide ribosomal RNA is filed under the name uncultured bacterium. RNAcentral's name for it is "partial 16S ribosomal RNA". It matches the Rfam family "Bacterial small subunit ribosomal RNA", at positions 28 to 507 of the family's 1533-position model. The record is from RNAcentral.
GACGAACGCUGGCGGCGUGCUUAACACAUGCAAGUCGAACGGAAAGGCCCUGCUUUUGUGGGGUGCUCGAGUGGCGAACGGGUGUGUAACACGUGAGUAACCUGCCCUUGACUUUGGGAUAACUUCAGGAAACUGGGGCUAAUACCGGAUAGGAGCUCCUGCUGCAUGGUGGGGGUUGGAAAGUUUCGGCGGUUGGGGAUGGACUCGCGGCUUAUCAGCUUGUUGGUGGGGUAGUGGCUUACCAAGGCUUUGACGGGUAGCCGGCCUGGGAGGGUGACCGGCCAAAUUGGGACGGAGAUACGGCCAAGACUCCAACGGGAGGCAGCAGUGGGGAAUAUUGCACAAGGGGCGGAAGCCUGAUGCAGCAACGCCGCGUGCGGGAUGACGGCCUUCGGGUUGUAAACCGCUUUCGCCUGUGACGAAGCGUGAGUGACGGUAACGGGUAAAGAAGCACCGGCUAACUACGUG